Long non-coding RNA from Strongylocentrotus purpuratus (purple sea urchin), 1007 nucleotides. RefSeq lists it as uncharacterized. The record is from RefSeq and is a predicted model, not a curated record. Lineage: Eukaryota; Metazoa; Echinodermata; Echinoidea; Camarodonta; Strongylocentrotidae. The transcript is spliced from 4 exons.
ACCCAAGGACUUCAGCCCUCCGGUGAUACCUGGUUCAGCAAAGACUAGGCCUUGGGGAGUGUUUACGGCUCUGUCAUCAUAACAGCAUUGUGGCAGAAGUAUGGAAACACCAGCAUAUACAGGAUAACUUCUUCAGAUGACUGCAAAGCGCAACAUUGCAAAGCUCACUUCUACAACCCUAGUCACCAAUGACCGUGCACCACCAUACCCCUUGCUCACCAGUUCAAACAAACUACCGCCCUCGAGUCAGAAGGCUGUCCUCAUCGUCCAACACACAGCGGUAAACAUCACCCCAGGACUUCAGCCCUCCGGUGAUACCUGGUUCAGCGAAGACUAGGCCUUGGGGAGUGUUUACGGCUUUGUCACCAAAACAGCAUUGUGGCAGAAGUAUGGAACACCAGCAUAUACAUGUAUGUAUCGGGACCUUUACAGGAUAACUUCUUCAGAUGACUGCAAAGCGCAACGUUGCAAAGCUCAUUUCUACAACCCUAGUCACCAAUGACAGUGCACCACCAUACCCUUUGCUCACCAGUUCAAACAAACUACCGCCCUCGAGUCAGAAGGCUGUCCUCAUCGUCCAACACACAGCGGUAACAUCACCCCAGGACUUCAGCCCUCCGGUGAUACCUGGUUCAGCGAAGACUAUGCCUUGGGGAGUGUUUACGGCUCUGUCACCAAAACAGCAUUGUGGCAGAAGUAUGGAACACCAGCAUAUACAGGAUAACUUCUUCAGAUGACUGCAAAGCGCAACAUUGCAAAGCUCAUUUCUACAACCCUAGUCACCAAUGACAGUGCACCACCAUAUCCCUUUGCUCACCAGUUCAAACAAACUACCGCCCUCGAGUCAGAAGGCUGUCCUCAUCAUCCAACACACAGCGGUAACAUCACCCAAGGACUUCAGCCUCCGGUGAUACCUGGUUCAGCAAAGACUAGGCUUGGGGAGUGUUUACGGCUCUGUCAUCAUAACAGCAUUAUGGCAGAAGUAUGGAACACCAGCAUAUACAGGG